GUGCCCAGAUGGGAUUAGCUAGUUGGUGGGGUAACGGGCUCACCAGCGACGAUCCCUAGCUGGUCUGAGAGGAUGACCAGCCACACUGGAACUGAGACACGGUCCAGACUCCUACGGGAGGCAGCAUG
This 128-nucleotide ribosomal RNA is filed under the name uncultured bacterium. RNAcentral's name for it is "partial 16S ribosomal RNA". It matches the Rfam family "Bacterial small subunit ribosomal RNA", at positions 227 to 353 of the family's 1533-position model. The record is from RNAcentral.